UGGGGAAUAUUGCACAAUGGGCGCAAGCCUGAUGCAGCAACGCCGCGUGAGGGAUGACGGCCUUCGGGUUGUAAACCUCUUUUAGCAGGGAAGAAGCGAAAGUGACGGUACCUGCAGAAAAAAGCACCGGCUAACUACGUGCCAGCAGCCGCGGUAAUACGUAGGGUGCAAGCGUUGUCCGGAAUUAUUGGGCGUAAAGAGCUCGUAGGCGGUCUGUCGCGUCUGCUGUGAAAUCCCGAGGCUCAACCUCGGGCCUGCAGUGGGUACGGGCAGACUAGAGUGCGGUAGGGGAGAAUGGAACUCCUGGUGUAGCGGUGGAAUGCGCAGAUAUCAGGAAGAACACCGAUGGCGAAGGCAGUUCUCUGGGCCGUAACUGACGCUGAGGAGCGAAAGCGUGGGGAGCGAACAGGAUUAGAUACCCUGGUAGUCCACGCCGUAAACGUUGGGCGCUAGAUGUGGGGACCAUUCCACGGUUUCCGUGUCGCAGCUAACGCAUUAAGCGCCCCGCCUGGGGAGUACGGCCGCAAGGCUAAAACUCAAAGGAAUUGACGGGGUCAUAGCUG
RNAcentral lists this ribosomal RNA (563 nucleotides) under uncultured bacterium. Its description in RNAcentral is "partial 16S ribosomal RNA". It matches the Rfam family "Bacterial small subunit ribosomal RNA", at positions 355 to 932 of the family's 1533-position model. The record is from RNAcentral.